UACGUAGGGGGCAAGCGUUGUCCGGAUUUACUGGGCGUAAAGAGCGUGUAGGCGGCCAAGCAGGUCCGUUGUGAAAACUGGAGGCUUAACCUCCAGACGUCGACGGAAACCGCGUGGCUAGAGUCCGGAAGAGGAGAGUGGAAUUCCUGGUGUAGCGGUGAAAUGCGCAGAUAUCAGGAGGAACACCGGUGGCGAAGGCGGAUCUCUGGGCCUGUUCUGACGCUGAGGCGCGAAAGCUAGGGGAGCGAACAGG
This 253-nucleotide ribosomal RNA is filed under the name uncultured bacterium. Its description in RNAcentral is "partial 16S ribosomal RNA". It matches the Rfam family "Bacterial small subunit ribosomal RNA", at positions 524 to 776 of the family's 1533-position model. The record is from RNAcentral.